This 872-nucleotide ribosomal RNA is filed under the name unidentified archaeon LMA238. Its description in RNAcentral is "bacterial SSU rRNA". It matches the Rfam family "Archaeal small subunit ribosomal RNA", at positions 1 to 881 of the family's 1478-position model. The record is from RNAcentral. Lineage: Archaea; Thermoproteati; Thermoproteota.
UUCCGGUUGAUCCUGGAAGACCUGACUGCUAUCGGAUUGGUACUAAGCCAUGUGAGUCAUUGUAGCAAUACAAGGCAUACGGCUCAGUAACACGUAGUCAAUCUGCCCUAUGGACGUGGAUAACCUCGGGAAACUGAGAAUAAUCCGCGAUAGAUCAUAAUGCCUGGAACGGUUUAUGGUCCAAAUGAUUCGUCGCCAUAGGAUGGGACUGCGGCCUAUCAGCUUGUUGGUGAGGUAAUGGCCCACCAAGGCUAUUACAGGUACGGGCUCUGAGAGGAGAAGCCCGGAGAUGGGUACUGAGACACGGACCCAGGCCCUAUGGGGCGCAGCAGGCGAGAAACCUUUGCAAUGUGCGCAAGCACGACAAGGUUAAUCCGAGUGUUUCCUGCUAAAGGAAUCUUUUGUUAGUUCUAAAACCACUGAUGAAUAAGGGGUGGGCAAGUUCUGGUGUCAGCCGCCGCGGUAAAACCAGCACCUCAAGUGGUCAGGAGGAUUAUUGGGCCUAAAGCAUCCGUAGCCGGUUCUGUAAGUUUCCGGUUAAAUCCACUAGCUCAACUAAUGGGCUGCCGGAAAUACUGCAGAACUAGGGAGUGGGAGAGGUAGACGGUACUCGGGAGGAAGGGGUAAAAUCCUUUGAUCUCUUGAUGACCACCUGUGGCGAAGGCGGUCUACCAGAACACGUUCGACGGUGAGGGAUGAAAGCUGGGGGAGCAAACCGGAUUAGAUACCCGGGUAGUCCCAGCUGUAAACNAUGCAGACUCGGUGAUGCACUGGCUUUUGGCCAGUGCAGUGCCGCAGGGAAGCCGUUAAGUUUGCCGCCUGGGAAGUACGUACGCAAGUAUGAAACUUAAAGGAAUUGGCGGGGGACACAA